Non-coding RNA from Callorhinus ursinus (northern fur seal), 250 nucleotides. NCBI's taxonomy places the organism in Eukaryota, Metazoa, Chordata, Mammalia, Carnivora, Otariidae. The record is from RefSeq and is a predicted model, not a curated record.
UAACGUGUUCUCCGCCAGGCUGGGUCCUGCCCCAGACCGUGGCCCCAGCCCCUACCCUCCCGUGUUCUGAAUCCUUUGCACUUCCUCAUGAAUUUUAGAUCCAGCUUGCCAACCUCCAGCAAAAAAGCCUGGUGCCUUUUGUUUGGGAUUCCACUGAAUCUAUAGAUCAGUUUGAAAGAAUUUAUAUCUUGAUGAUAUUGAGUACUUCAGUCCAUGAACAUGAGAGAGACACAGCCAGAGAGGGAACACA